This 200-nucleotide ribosomal RNA is filed under the name uncultured bacterium. RNAcentral describes it as "partial 16S ribosomal RNA". It matches the Rfam family "Bacterial small subunit ribosomal RNA", at positions 8 to 221 of the family's 1533-position model. The record is from RNAcentral.
AGAGUUUGAUCCUGGCUCAGGACGAACGCUGGCGGCGUGCUUAACACAUGCAAGUCGAACGAGGCACUUGUGCCUAGUGGCGAACGGGUGAGUAACACGUGAGCAACCUGCCCCUGGCUCUGGGAUAGCCUCCGGAAACGGGGAUUAAUACCGGACAUGACGCGGCAUCGCAUGAUGCUGUGUGGAAAGUUUUUCGGCCA